UACGGAGGGUGCAAGCGUUAUCCGGAUUCACUGGGUUAAAGGGUGCGUAGGUGGGUUGGUAAGUCAGUGGUGAAAUCUCCAGGCUUAACUUGGAAACUGCCAUUGAUACUAUCAAUCUUGAAUACCGUGGAGGUCAGCGGAAUAUGUCAUGUAGCGGUGAAUGCUUAGAUAUGACAUAGAACACCAAUUGCGAAGGCAGCUGGCUACACGAAUAUUGACACUGAUGCACGAAAGCGUGGGGAUCAAACAGG
This 251-nucleotide ribosomal RNA is filed under the name uncultured bacterium. RNAcentral describes it as "partial 16S ribosomal RNA". It matches the Rfam family "Bacterial small subunit ribosomal RNA", at positions 524 to 776 of the family's 1533-position model. The record is from RNAcentral.